GAAGCGCGCCAGACCGCCGCUGGUGCAAGUUGGGAAACCAAGCACUGGAGGAACGUCCGGACUGCACAGGACAGCGUAGCAGCUAACGGCUGCCCACCGUGAGGUGAGGAUUAGAGCAACAGAGACGAGCCGAUUAAGUUCGGGUGAAACGGGCAAUCUCUACGCGCAGCAAUACCAAGUAGGCCAACGUUGAUGUGGUUCCGCAGAGUUGGCGGGUAGGUAGCAUUGAGCCGUGGUGGCGACACCCGGCCCAGAUUAAUGGCGGUCACAUUCGGGCAACCGAAUGCACAGAAUCCGGCUUAUCGGCGCGCUUCACAC
RNAcentral lists this RNase P RNA (318 nucleotides) under Giesbergeria sp. RNAcentral describes it as "RNase P RNA component class A". It matches the Rfam family "Bacterial RNase P class A". From Rfam's summary of the family: Ribonuclease P (RNase P) is a ubiquitous endoribonuclease, found in archaea, bacteria and eukarya as well as chloroplasts and mitochondria. Its best characterised activity is the generation of mature 5'-ends of tRNAs by cleaving the 5'-leader elements of precursor-tRNAs. The record is from RNAcentral. Lineage: Bacteria; Pseudomonadati; Pseudomonadota; Betaproteobacteria; Burkholderiales; Comamonadaceae.